UUUUAGCCCUGAUCGAAACGGCAUCCUUUUGUACUCCGGCCGAGGAGUACAAAAGAUACAGUGAAGAGCAGGAAAUAGC
Molecule: small RNA, 79 nt
Filed under: Flavobacterium weaverense
Lineage: Bacteria; Pseudomonadati; Bacteroidota; Flavobacteriia; Flavobacteriales; Flavobacteriaceae
Description: Flavo-1 RNA
Rfam family: Flavo-1 RNA
Source: RNAcentral